Molecule: long non-coding RNA, 194 nt
Organism: Grammomys surdaster
Lineage: Eukaryota; Metazoa; Chordata; Mammalia; Rodentia; Muridae
Exons: 2
Source: RefSeq, a predicted model, not a curated record
AUUUGCUUGCUUCAGCCUGUCAGAGACCUGUCAUUACAGAGAUUGAUGAAAUGUGUCUGCACUGUUUCCCAUUUGACAUCUCGAGAUGAAAAAGACGGCCAUGCAUUAUGAGAAUGCUAUAUUGACUGUUUUGGUUUGGAUCUUAAAUGUCCCCAGAGACCACAUAAUAAAGGCACGGCCCUUUUUACUUUUUA